Long non-coding RNA from Hibiscus syriacus, 261 nucleotides. RefSeq lists it as uncharacterized. The record is from RefSeq and is a predicted model, not a curated record. The transcript has 3 exons. Lineage: Eukaryota; Viridiplantae; Streptophyta; Magnoliopsida; Malvales; Malvaceae.
UGUUCUUGUCCCGCAAGAACUCACCAAUUAAACAAAUUUAUUACCCGAUCUGUGGCUGAAACAGCACCAGAUCCAGGCUACCCAUUUUUGUUAAUUAACUUUCUCUUUAACUAAUCAACCCUGUUUCUAAACCACAUUCCCUCGCACUUUGCUCUGCAUCAGAUUCUUUUCCCCUGCAUUUCUCUUUAGCAUAUCUGAUGUUCAAUGCGUAUGUUUUGAUCUAGAUCCCAAGUAGAAGACUGUGUGUGUGCUGGAGGGAUU